Molecule: ribosomal RNA, 440 nt
Filed under: uncultured bacterium
Lineage: Bacteria
Description: partial 16S ribosomal RNA
Rfam family: Bacterial small subunit ribosomal RNA
Source: RNAcentral
CUACGGGCGGCUGCAGUGAGGAAUAUUGCACAAUGGGGGAAACCCUGAUGCAGCAACGCCGCGUGGAGGAUGACGCAUUUCGGUGUGUAAACUCCUUUUAUAUGAGAAGAAAUUUGACGGUAUCAUAUGAAUAAGCACCGGCUAACUCCGUGCCAGCAGCCGCGGUAAUACGGAGGGUGCAAGCGUUACUCGGAAUCACUGGGCGUAAAGGACGCGUAGGCGGUUUAAUAAGUCAGAAGUGAAAUCCUACAGCUCAACUGUAGAACUGCUUUUGAAACUGUUAAACUAGAGUUCGGGAGAGGCAGAUGGAAUUUCUGGUGUAGGGGUAAAAUCCGUAGAGAUCAGAAGGAAUACCGAAAGCGAAGGCGAUCUGCUGGAACGAUACUGACGCUGAGGCGUGAAAGCGUGGGGAGCAAACAGGAUUAGAUACCCGUGUAGUC